Molecule: long non-coding RNA, 3636 nt
Filed under: Thrips palmi
Lineage: Eukaryota; Metazoa; Arthropoda; Insecta; Thysanoptera; Thripidae
Description: uncharacterized LOC117640574, transcript variant X4
Source: RNAcentral
GUUAUUUUUGUUUGAAUGUUGUUGUUGUCGUCGCAAGUUGAGGGACGUUGUGCCUAAAGCAUCGUACUGAAGCGCGAAUUGAAUCGUUCUGCAGACGCUGUGCUGAUGCCUGGCUAGGGCUCGUAACCGUCGCGGAAUAGGCCACUGUCUUGUAACGGUUGUUUAUCGUCAGUCUCCAGAGGUAUUUCUCCUUCCGAAGUUCCACGUUUCGGGAAAGAAAAUGGCUUGGAUUAUUUUGGAUACUGCGGCAACGAUUGUCGUUCCUACGUGACGUUUGUGCUACGGACUGAGUGUACAGGUUUCUUUUUGUCCUGAUUCAUUACCCCAACGUAAUUAUUGGAGUUGGAGAUGGGUCGCAGAGCAGACACAGUGGUGUUUUAUCCACAUUUUCCAUGCCAUGGCAGCAAGUGGUGAUGCCUCAAAUGUGCUGUUGUUACGCUGUGGGAAUCUUGGCAGCAGUCCGUUUCGGUGUUCAUUGUUUCAUCAAGGUAGAAAGAAGUGCAGGUAGUAGAGUGUACUGUACAGUGAGGUAUGUGUGUUUCAUUGAUGUUUAAACUGGACUUGGUGAGGGGAUGGACGUCAAGAAAGUCUUGUCAAGAAGCUGGAGCCCCUCCUCAUUUCCAUCGUUCAGCGGUCGUCUGUGAAUGUCACCUCAAGCAUUUGGUGGAACGGGAGACUGGUGUGUGGUUUGGUAGCGGUGUGUAAGGAAGUUCAAUGUGAAUUUAUUGUGCAUGUAUUUUUUUAGGAGCUAGUUGUAGUGGCAGGGUCUUUCAGAAUGAACUCAACAAGAAGAGUGGUGGGAAGAAACAGCAUUGAUGUAGAAAUGUAGCCACAUCUUGAAUCGUCCUUCUUUUAAAGUGAAUUUUAAUUAUUGUUUUUGCAUGAGGGUACUUUGGAUGGGAAUUCUACAAAUCAAACAUCAAGAAAUGUGACGCUGAGAUCAUAGAUGGGCCUGGACAAGUAUCGUUCAAUAAUUUCAGUCAGCACUCCACUGGUGUGGGUUUUUUAAUUUAUUUAUUUUAUUUUUAGGAAACUUGAAGACAACAAGAACUUUGGUGUGGUGGUGGUGGUGGUGGUUUUUGUUCAGUAAGAUAAUGCUUCUUAAAUGAUGUUGUUUUUUGCAUGGGCCAUAUUGCAGGGGUAGGUAAACCAGAAGAAAUAUGGGAACUGAACUUGGUGAGGGGAUGGACAUCAAGAAAGUCUUGUCAAGAAUCUGGAGCCCCUCCUCAUUUCCAUCGUUCAGCAGUCGUCUGUGAAUGUCACCUCAAGCAUUUGGUGGAACGGGAGACUGGUGUGUGGUUUGCUAGCGGUGUGUAAGGAAGUUCAAUGUGAAUUUAUUGUGCAUGUAUUUUUUUUGAGAGUUGGUUGUGGUGGCUGUGCUUUGAGAAGAAACUCAUCAAGAAGAGUUGGGGGAAGAAACACACUGAUGUAGAAUUGUGCUGCCAUGUCUUGUAAUUGUCUCUGCAUGAGGGCACUUUCAAUAACAUUCUGCAAGUGGAACAUCAAGAAAUGUGACGGUGAGACUGAAGAUGGACCUGGACAAGUAUCACUCAACAAGUCCAGCCAUAACUGUUCUGUUGUUGUGUGUUUGUAUUAUUUUUUUAAACUUGAAGGCAACAAGAAAUUUUGGGUGGUGGUGGUGGCGGCGGUUUGUGUUUAAGUCCUAAUCUGCUGUGUUAAUGAUUACAUUUUUGGCACGGAUAAUACUACAGUGUUAAUUCCAGGGUAUGUUUUAUAAUAUCUUUGCAUUUUCCUUUCUCAUUAACACUGUUGUUGACUCUUAAUUAUCAAUGUACUGUUUCUUUCUCUUCCUGCAGAAAGAUAUCCCUUCUUAAAAGAGGGUGUGUUUGUUUUGCUUUCAAUUCAAAGCCACUUGGAGGAGAAGGAAUUUUUCAGUCAUCGUAAUCCUUCCAUAAGGGUUGAUACUGACUUUUUGUGGUUAAUCAUGUGUCUUUUGGCAUGGGAUUCUUUCGGAGGGAAAUCUGCAGGUGGUUAGUCCUCAAGAAAGUUGGCAUUGACACGACAGAUGAGCUUGGACAAGUUACAGACUUCAGAAACCGCACCAAUAAACAACUUAAUUCAUCGCUCAGCAGCUGUCAGCUGGGAAUUGGGAAGUCAGAGCCAGCAACAAGUUUUGGGUGAUGGUGGGAAUGUUGGUACCGAAAAGUAUUGCCACACCUCGUUUAGUUUCUUUUUUCUAUAAGUAAUAUUUAAUUUUUGUUUUGAGCAUGAGGGCACUUGUGAUAGGGUUCUGCCAGUGAAAUAUCAAGGGAUGUGUUGUUGAGACUACAGAUGGGCCUCUACAAGUACCACUUCAACAAUUUCAGUCAUCGCUCCAGUGUCUACUUUAGAAAUUUGAAAUCAACAGGAAGUUGGGGAUAAUGGUUUUGGAUUUGGUGUGUCUCUUGUCUCAUUCUGCAGUUUAAAUUAUUUCAUGGGCCAUAUUGCAGGAGGAAUUUAGGAGGUAAACCAGAAGGAUCAUGGGCUUCGCUGAUUAGGAUGGGCAAUGGCAUGUGGUUGCAUCUCUACUAAACUCCUUCACAAGUCUGCUGUUUCUUUGGAAUUUCAAGCCAUCAAGAGAGAAGAGUUGUUUGUUGUGGUGUCUCUUUGCAUUAUGUCAUGAAGGCACCUGGCUUUGGCGGUCAAAUACAAGCUGAUCAGAAAAAAGAGAGGGUGGCCCAGGUGGUUCUUUGUUCUUUUUAUCAAGUCAAGAGGAGCGGGAUGGUGCUGGUGUGUUUAUGUGUUUGAGAAUCUGUUUCAUUUGGUGUACUUCAGAUUUAAUUAAGUUAAAGAAUGUGUCGCCCUGUUCAGCCCUGCUUUGUGACAGCUCAAUCACUGUAAAUACCGACUGGCUUUCUUCUCGCUUUCUUCCAAGGAUAUCUUAUCUCAAGAAGAAUAGGCAGUAUUUGUUUUGCUUGUCUCCCACUCCAGGAUAUGUGGGUAAUCAGGCAUGCUGCAAAUCAGUCACCCGACUUAAAUGUCAGUCCUUAGAUGUGCGUUGCAAUUACAAAUUUUGUUGUCUGAGACUUGGCCCUCAACUUACAUAACCACAGUUCCAAUCAUGCCAUUUUGAUGAAGUUAUUCCUUCAAGCGUAGAGGAGAGUUUUUGAAAUGAAUCUCAAUCAGAGUGUGGUGAAUUCCACGCCAUUUCAUCUCGGACAGACACCAACACCUGUGCCCAUGGUCUUUCCCCGUGGCUGCAGCUUUCAAAUGUAGGCCAAUCUGUGCAGAGACCUAGGAAUGAAGAGCAAUCAACCACCUGUACUGCUGACUCUGCUGUGCACUCCAGAAAUGAAGGAAUUGUGUGUUCCUGAAGUUGUGCGGAUUACACCUCCAUUUUUGAAGAAAACUUUGCUUUUUGGAAUCCUCUCAUGUUAAAUUUCUAGCCUAUUGUGUUGUGCAAAUGAACUGUUAAAUAUUUUAAGACCGGUCAAAUAACUUAAUUUCUAAUGAUUCCAUACAUAUUAUUUUGUACUGCACUUUUUCUUUUGUUCAAUCUUUGAACACAGAAUGAAAGUCAUUUAUCUUUGUUAAUGUCAAUAGUUUGCUUUGAUAUUUUAUCAAUUGUUAUCAUAUUUCCAGUGUUGUCAUUUUGUCUAAGGAACGCAAGUGGAAUAAAAUUCAAAGACACCAAAA